CUUCUCCAGGCCGCCGACUCCUGCUCGUCGAAUCCCCUCUACUCACCAGGGCGCUUGGCUUCCUCCUUCCCUGCCGCACCGUGCUCCUCUGCUCCUCCCUGCUGCCAGCUCGGCCGUGCCCUGGCCAUGCUCCCUGCGCUCGCCAGCCGUGCGCAUCUCCCUCUAUGCACGCGCGCCUGCGUCCUGCGCCGCGAACCCCGCCGUGGAGCUUCCUCGAGCUCGCCCCAUGGCGCCCGGCCGAGCUCCUCCCUGUCGUGCUCUUGCUUGGCGUCCAAUUUUCCUACACGUCGCGGUCUUCCUCCCCGAGCUUGCCCUAGCCCCUUGUAUCCCCCAUGGCCGGAGCUUCUUCCAGCUCCAGCUCGGCUCUCUCUCCCAUGGCUCCCUGCACGCCCAUCUAUCUCUUGCGGAGCUCCCAGCGGCGCGCCCCGUCCCCUCUGCUUGCUCGACGCCCGUCUCCUAUGGCGUCUGGCAGCCGCUUCUCUCUGCUCGCCGCGCCCGGCCGGAACUUCCUCUGCUCGGCCAUGGCCGCCGCGUCGCGUUCCCGGCUCGCGUUCCUCCGUCCACAGCUCCGCUCGAUGCUCCUCCCUGCUCGCUCGUCCCUGCGCAUGCCCCUCAACCUCGUCGACUCGCCGAGCUUCUUGCUCGGCCUGCGUGAUCCGGCAACGCUGUCCUCCACUCGGCCUCCCUGCACCGCGCCAUGACGACCGUUGGACCUGCCGUCCCCUGCACGCCGACUUCCCUCUGCGCGCCUCUGUUCUCUCGUCAUCAUUCAUUCCUAUUUUUCUUCGCCAUAUGCCGCCUCAUCAUGACACGUGUCAUCGUCUUUAAUAUCAGAAGCUCGUCCGAUACGUGCCUCGCCGUGCUUCGCCUCCUCGUGAUCAGCCUCAUCUGGGUCAUGGGGGCGGAAGAUCUCAACACCUGUCAGAUGUUCAACGACAAGCCCGAACCAGAAUUUAUCAACAUUCUCAUAAGUAUUGAGUCACGUUUGAUGCUGGUACGUGAAUUAACCAUGUGAUGCGGAGAACCAGAGUUGAGUCGACCACAAGAUAAUGGAAAGCGUGAGCUUUUCCGCAAGAUAAUGUUGAUGAAUUAACCCGAAGAUGGAUGAACGAAGCAAGUAUCGGAAUAAAGGCUGAUCGCCAAGUGGACGUCAUCUAACAACACUAACCUAGUGUUAUCCAGCAGCCUCUUCUUCCCCGAUCCCGACUCCAACUCUCCAUCUCUCCUUCGCCUGGCACAUCCUCAGCGGCGCGGCAGCCUGCUUCUUCCCCGGCGCGGCGACCUGCUUCUUCGACGACGUGGAGGCCUGCGGCGGACGCGACGCGGCAGCCUACCAGGCGAAUGGAUCCGCAGACGAACGGAUCUUCUCGGCGCCUGGCAGAUCUUUGGACGCGACGCGGCGGCCUACCAAGCGAACGGAUACGCGGAUGAACGGAUCUUCGGCGCCUAGCAGAUCUUCGGACGCGGCGCGGCGGCCUACCAGGCGGACGGAUCCGUGGACAAAUAGAUCUCCGGCGCAUGGCAGAUCUUCGGCGCGCGGCCUACCGGGUGGACGGAUCUCCGGUGCCUGGCGGGUAGACACGACAGCCUGCCAGUCUUCUUCAGGCGGGUGGAUCUCUAGCGCUCCUUGAGCUGGAGCAGGCAGGCGUGCCGGUCUUCUCUAGGCAUCUUCUCCAGGCAGGCGUGCCGGUCUUCUCCAACGCAUCUUCAGCGUCUCUCGAGCUGGAGCAGGCUCUAUGCUCCGAUGUACUCAUCCCUGCUCCACACCGGCUCAACUGCAUCCAGGUGGGUUCGACCUUUGCUUAUGGUCAUGGAAGAGGCGACGAUGCCAAAACUCUUGCAGAGCUCGGAUUCCAAAUCGGUGAUUACUUGAGCGUUGCAAUCAUGUAGACAGUGCCCGCACCGGAUGUAAUUGCUGAAAUGUCAAAAGGUCUCUGGUUGCAACAGUAAGGUGUGAUUCUCUGUUAGCAGUAGAAACUGGAACCAGAAUUGGUCUGUAAUACUGGUAGUAUCAAAUGUCAAAAGGGCUCGGGUUCCUAUGAAGUCAAACACAGGAAAGUUUGCAUCUUGGAGCCAAACCAAUUGGGCAAAUUUUUGUUCGGUACCCAAUUUUGUUUCGCCAUUUCUAAAUUUAGAGCAUUAUGCAAAAGUGUGAAUAUAGGUGCUUCACAAACGGACACAUAUCUCACGAAGUUUCAUGUCAUUGGACUACAACUACAUGGUUUGAGCUACAUUUCUUAGUUUUGUUUGUUUU
Zea mays is the source of this 2254-nucleotide long non-coding RNA. RefSeq lists it as uncharacterized. The record is from RefSeq and is marked validated. Lineage: Eukaryota; Viridiplantae; Streptophyta; Magnoliopsida; Poales; Poaceae. The transcript has 6 exons.